RNAcentral lists this ribosomal RNA (666 nucleotides) under Hepatozoon canis. RNAcentral's name for it is "SSU rRNA". It matches the Rfam family "Eukaryotic small subunit ribosomal RNA", at positions 167 to 821 of the family's 1831-position model. Lineage: Eukaryota; Apicomplexa; Hepatozoidae. The record is from RNAcentral.
AUACAUGAGCAAAAUCUCAACUUUAUUAGAGGAGACGCAUUUAUUAGAUAAAAAGCCAAUGCAUGCUUUUACAGUAUGAAAAUUGGUGAUUUAUAAUAACUUAGCAAAUCGCAAAGUGAAAACAGGCGAUAAAUCAUUCAAGUUUCUGACCUAUCAGCUUUCGACGGUAUGGUAUUGGCUUACCGUGGCAGUGACGGUUAACGGGGGAUUAGGGUUCGAUUCCGGAGAGGGAGCCUGAGAAACGGCUACCACAUCUAAGGAAGGCAGCAGGCGCGCAAAUUACCCAAUUCUAACAGUUUGAGAGAGGUAGUAACAAGAAAUAACAAUACAAGGCAGUUAAAAUGCUUUGUAAUUGGAAUGAUAGAAAUUUAAACCCUUUUUAAAGUAUCAAUUGGAGGGCAAGUCUGGUGCCAGCAGCCGCGGUAAUUCCAGCUCCAAUAGCGUAUAUUAAAAUUGUUGCAGUUAAAAAGCUCGUAGUUGAAGUUCUGCUAAAAGUAACCGGUCUGCUUUUAAUAAAGGUGGUAUCUUGGUGUGUAUUUAGCAAUGAUGUCCUUUGAAGUGUUUUUUACUUUAUUGUAAUAAAGCAUAUUCAGGACUUUUACUUUGAGAAAAUUAGAGUGUUUCUAGCAGGCUAACGCUUUGAAUACUGCAGCAUGGAAUAAUAAG